GGGGUGUUAGCUCAUUUGGUAGAGCGCUUCCAUGGCAUGGAAGAGGCGACGAGUUCGAAUCUCGUACACUCCACCA
Molecule: transfer RNA, 76 nt
Filed under: Candidatus Saccharimonadota bacterium
Lineage: Bacteria; Candidatus Saccharimonadota
Also listed under: 1 other name
Description: tRNA-Ala
Rfam family: tRNA
About the family: Transfer RNA (tRNA) molecules are approximately 80 nucleotides in length. Their secondary structure includes four short double-helical elements and three loops (D, anti-codon, and T loops).
Source: RNAcentral